RNAcentral lists this long non-coding RNA (457 nucleotides) under Panax ginseng (ginseng). RNAcentral describes it as "long non-coding RNA (PGIN_LNC000309)". The record is from RNAcentral. Lineage: Eukaryota; Viridiplantae; Streptophyta; Magnoliopsida; Apiales; Araliaceae.
CCAGCAAACAGUUUAAGCGAUAACCCCAAAGACAAACUUUAUAUAAACUAUAAACAUAAAUAGAUGAUAAGCAAUAUCUACCCCAGGGCUACGCAACACUUCUGAGAAAUAAAAUUGAAGCUUAUGAAAUAAUAUAUCUGAAUUCCCAAAACAAAGCCUUCAACAAGUAGCGAAUGAUCUCCAACAGACAUUCAUAUAUUCUCUAAUUUCUUCCCUUCUUUGAAUCACUCCAAAUAAUUCAAAUUAAUUAGCCACCAAGUUUGAGCAUCUCAUAAACUCAUACACUUAUAAAGGCAAUGUAAGUCAAGAUAACCUUCCAUGCCUAAAAUUUUAUUUUCAUCUUUGUCAGACUUAGUAGCUGGAUUCAAUUCAAGAAUAAUAAAAAAGAAAAAGGAUAUUAGAGGUUUUUAACCUAUAAGGCAAGCCAAAAGUGGUAUUAGAUGGUGCUUUCAACCUG